UCCACUUUUUUUCUGUUUAUUUGUUUUAUAUUGCUUGCGAUAUGUGAUAUUUGUAGUACAAUAUUUGAGUAUUUGGGUAACGUAUUACCGUAAAAUUUAAAAGUGACUGUUAUUUUAUGUUUAAGAAAAAUAAAAAUGGUAAUAAUUUUAAUAAUGCAGGAAUCACUCAAGAGGAUUACCGGCUGAUGGUAAGGGAUGCCACAGAAAUUGAUUGGACCUGUGCACAGUGCACAGUUAUCAACCAAACAGAUGCAGAUGAUGAGGGAAAUUCUUUCAAUGUGACGGCCGACUUCGACAUCCCUCAGCGUAUAGAGGAAAGAGACAACGUGGCGAUGGUACAACGUGGCGUUGUUCCGUGAGGAACAGCAAGAUGACGUGCCCAGCCACUGUUCAGCAGACCGGCGACACCUUCGUCAACGGAACCAGGGCACACGUCCACGGACCGGAGGGCGGCAUCCAGACAACGCUUGCCGUCAAAGCGAAGAUCAAGGAAACUGCUAAAACUGACGUUUUCCAGCCGGCGAGCGCCAUCGUUGAGGGCGUCAUUAUUGACGACCUCGAUGUACAGCAGACCUGGGAU
This is a long non-coding RNA of Gigantopelta aegis, 580 nucleotides long. RefSeq lists it as uncharacterized. The transcript has 3 exons. The record is from RefSeq and is a predicted model, not a curated record. Lineage: Eukaryota; Metazoa; Mollusca; Gastropoda; Neomphalida; Peltospiridae.